AACGAACGCUGGCGGCAGGCCUAACACAUGCAAGUCGAGCGCGCCCUUCGGGGUGAGCGGCGGACGGGUGAGUAACGCGUGGGAACGUGCCCUUUUCUACGGAAUAGCCUCGGGAAACUGAGAGUAAUACCGUAUACGCCCUUUGGGGGAAAGAUUUAUCGGAAAAGGAUCGGCCCGCGUUGGAUUAGGUAGUUGGUGGGGUAAUGGCCUACCAAGCCGACGAUCCAUAGCUGGUUUGAGAGGAUGAUCAGCCACACUGGGACUGAGACACGGCCCAGACUCCUACGGGAGGCAGCGGUGGGGAAUCUUAGACAAUGGGGGCAACCCUGAUCGAGCCAUGCCGCGUGAGUGAUGAAGGCCUUAGGGUUGUAAAGCUCUUUCAGCUGGGAAGAUAAUGACGGUACCAGCAGAAGAAGCCCCGGCUAACUCCGUG
This 433-nucleotide ribosomal RNA is filed under the name uncultured bacterium. RNAcentral describes it as "partial 16S ribosomal RNA". It matches the Rfam family "Bacterial small subunit ribosomal RNA", at positions 29 to 507 of the family's 1533-position model. The record is from RNAcentral.